AUGGGGGUGUUCAGGUUCUCGGACGAGGCUGUGGCCGCCGUCGUGCCCAUCCUGGUGUACUGGGCCUACUCCGGCGUGCACACGGCGCUUGGCCAUGGACGCGUCAUGGCCAAGUACAGGCUCAACACCAAGGCUGAGGAGGACAGCAAGAACACGGUGUCCAAGCGUGCCGUGCUCGGGAACGUCCUCAUGCAGCACCUCAUGCAGCUCGUCGCCGUCACCGUGCUCACCCCGAGAGGGGCAGGGGGAGCGACCACGGGCGACUCGCCGGCGACCGCGUCGUCGUCGUACCUGACAGCGGCGCAUCAGAUCGCGGUGACCGUGGUGCUGUACGACGCGUACGGCUACGCGUGGCACCGUCCGGCGCACCGCAGCCGGUUCUUGUACCGGCACCUCCACUCGUGGCACCACCGCCUGGUGGUGCCCUACGCGUUCGGCGUCAAGUACGGGCACCCGGUGGAGGCCCUCAUCACCGACAAGGCCGGCGCGUCGCUCGCCAUCCUGGCCUCCGGCAUGUCGUCGUCGCAGCGCGCCACGGUCGUCUUCCUCUCGCUGUGCAACAUCAAGGGCAUCGACAACCACUGCGGGUUGUGCCUCCUGCCGCGCCGCCUGCAGUCGCUCCGGAACAGCGCCGCGUACCACGGCGUGCACCACCUGCCGCACGGCGUCAGGUACAACUUCUCUGACCUCUUCUUCGUCACGUGGGACAAGGCGUUCGGGACGUACCUGCACUACACCAUGCUGGAGAGGCCCGGCGGCGGGGGCUGGUGA
Molecule: ribosomal RNA, 771 nt
Filed under: Triticum aestivum (bread wheat)
Lineage: Eukaryota; Viridiplantae; Streptophyta; Magnoliopsida; Poales; Poaceae
Description: partial small subunit ribosomal RNA
Source: RNAcentral